This 67-nucleotide ribosomal RNA is filed under the name Escherichia coli. Its description in RNAcentral is "partial 16S ribosomal RNA". The stretch from base 1 to 54 matches the Rfam family "Bacterial small subunit ribosomal RNA", at positions 1480 to 1533 of the family's 1533-position model. The record is from RNAcentral. Lineage: Bacteria; Pseudomonadati; Pseudomonadota; Gammaproteobacteria; Enterobacterales; Enterobacteriaceae.
GUGAAGUCGUAACAAGGUAACCGUAGGGGAACCUGCGGUUGGAUCACCUCCUUACCUUAAAGAAGCG